CGAACGGUCGCGUAACACGUGGGCAACCUGCCCUGAAGCGGGGGAUAACAGUCCGAAAGGAUUGCUAAUACCGCAUGUGGACGAAGAAGGCAUCUUCUUUGUCUAAAGGAGAAAUCCACUUCAGGAUGGGCCCGCGGCCUAUCAGCUUGUUGGUGGGGUAACGGCCUACCAAGGCUUCGACGGGUAGCUGGUCUGAGAGGACGACCAGCCGGAUUGGGACUGAGAUACGGCCCAG
RNAcentral lists this ribosomal RNA (235 nucleotides) under uncultured bacterium. Its description in RNAcentral is "partial 16S ribosomal RNA". It matches the Rfam family "Bacterial small subunit ribosomal RNA", at positions 99 to 334 of the family's 1533-position model. The record is from RNAcentral.